Molecule: non-coding RNA, 74 nt
Filed under: Christiangramia forsetii KT0803
Lineage: Bacteria; Pseudomonadati; Bacteroidota; Flavobacteriia; Flavobacteriales; Flavobacteriaceae
Source: RNAcentral
AGAGCAUUGCGCAAGGGAUAGCAGCGGUUAGCUCCCGCUUUUCGCGGGACUAUGAGCGAAUAGCCCGACCCGUA